This 770-nucleotide ribosomal RNA is filed under the name uncultured Pelagibacterales bacterium. RNAcentral's name for it is "bacterial SSU rRNA". It matches the Rfam family "Bacterial small subunit ribosomal RNA", at positions 124 to 930 of the family's 1533-position model. The record is from RNAcentral. Lineage: Bacteria; Pseudomonadati; Pseudomonadota; Alphaproteobacteria; Candidatus Pelagibacterales.
AUCUACCCUUUGGCCUGGAAUAACACGAGGAAACUUGUGCUAAUACCGGAUAAGUCUUUACGGAGAAAGCUUUAUGCACCAUUGGAUGAGCCUGCACUUGAUUAGUUUGUUGGUGGGGUAAUGGCCUACCAAGACUUUGAUCAAUAGCUGAUUUGAGAGGAUGAUCAGCCACAUUGGGACUGAGACACGGCCCAAACUCCUACGGGAGGCAGCAGUGGGGAAUCUUGCACAAUGGAGGAAACUCUGAUGCAGCGAUGCCGCGUGAGUGAAGAAGGCCUUUGGGUUGUAAAGCUCUUUCGUCGGGGAAGAAAAUGACUGUACCCGAAUAAGAAGGUCCGGCUAACUUCGUGCCAGCAGCCGCGGUAAUACGAAGGGACCUAGCGUAGUUCGGAAUUACUGGGCUUAAAGAGUUCGUAGGUGGUUGAAAAAGUUGGUGGUGAAAUCCCAGAGCUUAACUCUGGAACUGCCAUCAAAACUUUUCAGCUAGAGUUUGAUAGAGGAAAGCAGAAUUUCUAGUGUAGAGGUGAAAUUCGUAGAUAUUAGAAAGAAUACCAAUUGCGAAGGCAGCUUUCUGGAUCAUUACUGACACUGAGGAACGAAAGCAUGGGUAGCGAAGAGGAUUAGAUACCCUCGUAGUCCAUGCCGUAAACGAUGUGUGUUAGACGUUGGAAAUUUAUUUUCAGUGUCGCAGUGAAAGCGAUAAACACACCGCCUGGGGAGUACGACCGCAAGGUUAAAACUCAAAUGAAUUGACGGGGACCCGCACAAGU